AUAGCUGGUUGCAUUAACAAAAAGUUAGUGUAAGAUCGACUCUGUCGAAUAAAAUUCUAGAUAGAAUUAUGAUAAUGACAUUAUCUAUCUAUGUGUCUUGACCAAAUUACGUGCCAGCAGUCGCGGUAAUACGUAAAAGACUAGUGUUAUUCAUCUUUAAUAGGUUUAAAGGGUACUUAGACGGUAAAUAAAGCCCGAAUAGGGAACUAAUAUACUAGAGUUUGAUGUAAGGAAGCAUGAAAGUACUGUUGGUGUAGAGAUAAAAUUCUAUCAUACCAAAUAUGGCACAGGUUUAGGCGAAAGCAUCUUCUUAUGUAAUAACUGACGUUGAAGGACGAAGGCUUUGUGUCUCGAACAGGAUUAGAUACCCCAGUAGUCUAAGCAGACAAUGAUGAAUGUCAUAGAUUAGAUUUAAUUAAAUUUAUUCUAUAAAUGAAAGUGUAAGCAUUCCACCUCAAGAGUAAUUUGGCAACAUUGGAACUGAAAUCAUUAGACCGUUUCUGAAACCAGUAGUGAAGUAUGUUGUUUAAUUAGAAGAUACGCAAAAAACCUUACCACAAUUUGAAUUAGUAAUAUGUUUUCACAAGCGUUGCACGGCUGUCUACAGUUAAUGUCGUGAGAUUUUGGUUAGUUCCAUUAAAUUAACGCAAACCCUUACUUUAUUUUUAA
This 669-nucleotide ribosomal RNA is filed under the name Lecidea cancriformis. RNAcentral's name for it is "SSU rRNA". It matches the Rfam family "Bacterial small subunit ribosomal RNA", at positions 394 to 1120 of the family's 1533-position model. The record is from RNAcentral. Lineage: Eukaryota; Fungi; Ascomycota; Lecanoromycetes; Lecideales; Lecideaceae.